This is a long non-coding RNA of Lagenorhynchus albirostris (white-beaked dolphin), 601 nucleotides long. RefSeq lists it as uncharacterized. The transcript has 6 exons. NCBI's taxonomy places the organism in Eukaryota, Metazoa, Chordata, Mammalia, Artiodactyla, Delphinidae. The record is from RefSeq and is a predicted model, not a curated record.
AGACGUUCAUCACCCUUCCCAGGACCAAGUUCAUUUUCAGCAGUCCAGGUGGGAUGACCAGAAAUGAAAUCUGUGCUGGACUCCUUGGAUCUCCUGGAGGAGUUGGCAUAACUGGGGCACAGCCUUCUUCUCUCGACCAGGCUUCGUUGGAGUGACAGCUGGCAAGUACAUAGAGAGCCCUAGAAGAAAGACAACAAUGAUGAAACAGUUGAAUGUUACAGAUGGUGAAAAGUAGUGUUGCCUUCUCUCUGAAACAAAGAACCAUUGAAGAAUUGUUGAAGCAACGGAUGGAGAGUUGCCCGGCAACAUGAUUCCCCAGGAAUGACAAGUAACAUUCCUUGAUUCAGCGACGCCUAAGUGGAAAAGGAUGAGAUGCCUUAUCUCCUGCCUUCCCAUUUCCCCUUGGAGGACUCUGAAAUGACGAGCACUAUUGAAGAUACUAAGGGAGAAGUGUGUUGCCAGAUGACCUUCUGAGGUCCCCAGAAGGAGGAUGCAGAGAGGGAAUCCACGUCAACAAGACUGGUCUCCAUGAACAGGAGCAGGAAAUAACAUUUUCUGUGACCUACUAUGGACCAGGGGAUCUGCAGACAUUUUAUUUAGC